GCCACUGCAUCAGAAGCCAACAACCCGGUUAGUAAUUAAUAAAACAAAAACACGAAAAAAUAAAGGUGUACUUCGCUCCAACUGCAAGUGUUCGGGUGAAAUGCAAAUCAAUGGACUUGGGCAGGCAGGAUAGUAUUAUUUUUUCUUAUCGCCAACAGUAAUAGAGAGUAUACUAUAAGUUUUACCCAAGAAUACAGUACAGCUGUUCAUUUAGUGAACUUAAUUAUGUGCUUUUCCGUUACAAAAUAUUUCUAUAAUACAUCUGGCCAAUGAUAUGCAUUAUUACCCCACUUUUGCUCCUCAUACGUACUAGAUCAUAUGAUAGCGGUUUCCCACCUAUGUAAAUACAGAUGUAUUAACUUGUACUAAGUAUACCGUUUAUCUGAGUCGAGCCAGACACGUAUGGAAACACGACGGAAGACAGACAAACAACAUACGAAAUUUAAAGCAACUGACUGACAUUGCAGCGACGAAAUCAGGCUGGAUAAAUAACAGCAGUUCUAUAGCUACAGCUCUAGCCCUUGUGUGUAGAGCAUUCAUAUUGAGGAUUGUAUUUCUUAUUCAGACAAAUGUUUGCUUAAAGCCGACUUCGUCAAUGGCGUCGUAUAAGCCAAAACACCUGUGCACGUCACGUCGUAUAUAACAUCUCAGUUACAUAUAUGAAUGUAAGGUUUUGUGUGUGGAUCGAGAUAAACGAAGUAUUCGUGGUUAA
Long non-coding RNA from Drosophila pseudoobscura, 712 nucleotides. RefSeq lists it as uncharacterized. The transcript has 2 exons. NCBI's taxonomy places the organism in Eukaryota, Metazoa, Arthropoda, Insecta, Diptera, Drosophilidae. The record is from RefSeq and is a predicted model, not a curated record.